Molecule: transfer RNA, 72 nt
Filed under: Marmota monax (woodchuck)
Lineage: Eukaryota; Metazoa; Chordata; Mammalia; Rodentia; Sciuridae
Rfam family: tRNA
About the family: Transfer RNA (tRNA) molecules are approximately 80 nucleotides in length.
Source: Rfam by way of RNAcentral
UGGGUUGUGGCUCAGAGGUAGAGCGCCCGCCUAGCGUGUGUGAGGCCCUGGGUUCAAUCCUCAGCACCGCAU